Molecule: transfer RNA, 77 nt
Filed under: Blautia sp. An249
Lineage: Bacteria; Bacillati; Bacillota; Clostridia; Lachnospirales; Lachnospiraceae
Rfam family: tRNA
About the family: Transfer RNA (tRNA) molecules are approximately 80 nucleotides in length. Their secondary structure includes four short double-helical elements and three loops (D, anti-codon, and T loops).
Source: Rfam by way of RNAcentral
UGUCUGGUAGCUCAGUCGGUAGAGCGGUGUACACAUGAACUGGCACGACGUCGGAGGUUCGAGUCCUCUCCAGACAA